GAAAAUUCUACGCUAUCCUUGAAGAUCGUCCCCAAAUUAUUGGUUAAAUGCAGGAAAAAUUGAUGUAAUGAGGCACUGUGCAUUUGGACACAUUGCAAACAAGAUCAGGAGAAAGACCUGGGUUAGACAAAAGAAUGGAUAAGAUUAUCAAAGGAAGAUGUGUGAGAACAGAAGGGAGUAAAGCAAGGACCAAGACACCGUCCAUUUUUGAGAAACUGGUUGAGGAAGAGACUGAGAAGGAUUUCCGGAAAAACAAGAGAGAAACCAGGCAAGACAGGUGCCACAGGAGACAAGAGAGCAAAGAAUCUUUAAGAAGAAAAAAAGAGACUGUGCAAGUUGUUACAGAUCGUUAGAGCCACUGUGCUGGAGUCUUCCACUCAUAACCUCUCCGCUCAUUGCAGGCCGUCUUAUCACAUUCACAGUGGGAGAUUGCAGCCUCCAAACUGCUAUUCUGACUCUGAUCUUCAUGUAAAAGAAUGUUCUUCGGGCAUCCCACUGGAUCUACUGUAAAACAUCAGUCACGCAUCCAUAGGAUGGACUCAAAGACCUUCCUGAUGAGUGGUGGUGUGAAAUAUACUAAGAAUAAAAGGAUGCUUCAUUUUUAUGCGCUAGAGAUUUAAAACCACAUUAUACUUUGAUGCUAUCACCAGCCUUUUUCUUUAUGAUAUCUGCUGUUAUGUGAAUUGAGGGUUUUUUGAAGUUAAUAACUGAAAUACCCUCAGGGCUGUAAUCUCAUCCGUUGGAAGGACCCUGAGCAAACUCUUCCGUGGUGUGCGGUCAAUGUACCAUCAAUUUGGCCUUUUCAGUUCCAUGUGAAGCAAUGGUUGAACAUUGUGGUUUCUUUUUGUAACUUAGCCUUCCCCCACAACAUUCUUGAAGUAGAAGCAACAGCAACGAUGUUCUAGUUCAUUUGUGUCAACUAAUUUAAAAAAACAAAUUAAGGAGAGUAAGUUCAGACAUUUUGGAUAUUACUUUAAAUGUUAACAAUCAUUGGCAGGUUUUGAAUCCUUUUCUCUGCUUUGUGAACUGAGAUUAUGAUGAGUAUGUUCAUUUCAAAAACUAAAAAUGGGCUUGCCAUUACUUACUUUAACAAGCUGAGCUUUAAAGUUAUGCAAAAUAAAAG
This 1123-nucleotide long non-coding RNA is filed under the name Equus caballus (horse). Its description in RNAcentral is "lncRNA (ENSECAG00000056548.1)". Lineage: Eukaryota; Metazoa; Chordata; Mammalia; Perissodactyla; Equidae. The record is from RNAcentral.